RNAcentral lists this long non-coding RNA (1542 nucleotides) under Homo sapiens (human). RNAcentral's name for it is "HSALNT0267676". The record is from RNAcentral. Lineage: Eukaryota; Metazoa; Chordata; Mammalia; Primates; Hominidae.
GCAGGGCCUCGAGGAAGUAGGUGAGCUUCUCCAUCCCUGUCUGUCUAGAUGCAGAGAACCCAAAGCCCUGCAGGAUGGCAAAGCUGCAACAUGGAAGUCACCCGGAUCACCACGUAAAGGAAAUCUCUCCAACCAGGAACAAACACCUGCCUUGCAAUAUUAGGUGUCUGCCUCCUGCCCCGGUCCACAGCCAGGAGCCCCGGAGCCAACGGCCAGCCUGGAAGACUUACAGUUCUCCCUCUGAGGGUUGCUGUGGCUUUCCAUGUUGUGGUGACUAAGUCCCUGUGUUUCUGUGCAGUCCCUGCUUCCUGGGACCAGGGAAGAAUGGUCCCGUGGCCACCAGACUUUCUCUGCUUGUAUCCUCCCAGGACCACAGAACUCAUCGCAUCCCAAGGCAGCCUAUUCCAUCAUGGAUGAGCUCAAAGUGUUUGAAAGUUCUGCUUUAUCAAAACUCUUGAUGGCCUGCUUCCCAUCCUCCAUCCUGGAAGACUGAUCUGAAACCCCAGGAGGAGGUCCUCUGAGCCCUGAGGCAGAGAUCUCUCACCUGGAAGAUGGGUCUAAUGACUGCGCCCCACACACACCAGAGAGGACUGCAGAUAGUGCGGGAUGAGAGGAAGAUCUCUGGCCCUGGAGACAGCAUCAUCAAGCGAAAACGUAUGAGGAAGAAAAUAGCAGAUGAGAAGAAUCAACCAAAUUCCGGAAGCUGGAAGGCAGAUGGAAGAAGGCCCUUGAAUGAUGCCAGCACCUUGAUAUUGGACUUUCCAGCCUCCAGAACCAUGAGCCAAUACAUUUCUGUUCCAUAAAAAUUACCCAGUUCCAGGUAUUCUGCUAUAGCAGCACAAAAUGGACUAAAACAAUGUUGGCACAAGACUCAGUGCUGGGCCUGGCAUGCAACAGGUCCUUGGAGUGGCGUGCUGUGUGGAUAAUGAAUAUUGGGGAAGGCAUCUCUCUCCAGCCCCUCUCAAGCUUUCUGUAGUCACUGGUCCACUCUGUAUUGCUAUGAAGAAGCUCAAGACCAGCCUGUAUCACUCGGGGUCCUGGCAGGAACCAGGUGCCACACUCAAACUGAGUAAUUGAAGAGGGUUUAAUAUGGGAGUUAUUUACAUAGGUGUGGGCUGGUGUAGCUGCCCAUAUGCCCUCAAAAUCACCUCUACAUGGCAAUAGCUACUUACUGCUAACAGAGUCUCUCUCUCAUUGCUGCAAAUAUUUUCUAGCCAUGCAAGAAACUCAGCCGGUCAUGUUGAACAAACUAAGAGUGCCAGGAAGUUAAUGUCCUGGAAGCAUUGCCAGAGGGGAGGGGGCAGUUAGAUUCCCCAGCUUCCUCGCUCCUCUGCUGGGUUAAGCCUGCAACAUAUUCAUCAUCUCCCAGAGUGCUGCCCAGGGAUAGAGCUCCAGGUGCUCAGUGUGGUGACCUGCUCAUGUCAGCUUCUUCCCCUUUCCUGUCUUGUUUCGCACCCACAUCCUUCCCAUGUUUCCUCUUCCCAAAUAAACUACUUGCAUUGAAAUCUUUGUCUCAGGCUCUGCUUCUGGGGAAACCUGAAC